RNAcentral lists this ribosomal RNA (514 nucleotides) under uncultured bacterium. RNAcentral's name for it is "partial 16S ribosomal RNA". It matches the Rfam family "Bacterial small subunit ribosomal RNA", at positions 28 to 523 of the family's 1533-position model. The record is from RNAcentral.
GACGAACGCUGGCGGCGUGCCUAACACAUGCAAGUCGAACGGGGAGUUACUUGUAACUCCUAGUGGCGAACGGGUGAGUAACGCGUAGACAACCUGCCUCUAAAUUGGGGACAACACCGCGAAAGUGGUGCCAAUACCGAAUGUGGUAACUUGAUCGCAUGAUCGAGUUAAGAAAGAUGGCCUCUAUUUAUAAGCUAUCGAUUAGAGAUGGGUCUGCGUCUGAUUAGCUAGUUGGUGAGGUAAUGGCCCACCAAGGCGACGAUCAGUAGCCGGUCGGGGAGGAUGAACGGCCACCCUGGGACUGGGACACGGCCCAGGCUCCUACGGGAGGCAGCAGUGGGGAAUCUUCCGCAAUGGACGAAAGUCUGACGGAGCAACGCCGCGUGAGUGAAGGAGGUCUUCGGAUUGUAAAGCUCUGUCGUUUGGGACGAACGUGCUUUGUGUGAAUAAUGCAGAGUAAUGACGGUACCAAAGGAGGAAGCCACGGCUAACUACGCGCCAGCCGCCGCAGUAA